CAAUAGCGUAUAUUAAAGUUGUUGCAGUUAAAAAGCUCGUAGUUGGAUUUGUGGCGUACGGUGUGUUCCGGGCACUUGUUGUCUGAGUAACCUGCUGUUGCCAUCCUUGGGUGGAACCUGUGUGGCAUUAGGUUGUCGUGCAGGGGAUGCCCAUCAUUUACUGUGAAAAAAUUAGAGUGUUCAAAGCAGGCUUAUGCCGUUGAAUAUAUUAGCAUGGAAUAAUGAGAUAGGACUUUUUUGCUAUAUUGUUGGUUUGCGCAAAGAGGUAAUGAUUAAUAGGGACAGUUGGGGGUAUUCGUAUUCCAUUGUCAGAGGUGAAAUUCUUGGAUUUUUGGAAGACGAACUACUGCGAAAGCAUUUACCAAGGAUGUUUUCAUUAA
This 380-nucleotide ribosomal RNA is filed under the name uncultured eukaryote. RNAcentral's name for it is "partial 18S ribosomal RNA". It matches the Rfam family "Eukaryotic small subunit ribosomal RNA", at positions 592 to 976 of the family's 1831-position model. The record is from RNAcentral.